Molecule: long non-coding RNA, 1178 nt
Filed under: Homo sapiens (human)
Lineage: Eukaryota; Metazoa; Chordata; Mammalia; Primates; Hominidae
Description: HSALNT0008985
Source: RNAcentral
UAUGUUCUCUUUCCACCUUUAGUUACCUGUAUUGUAUAAUAAUCCAUUUAUUCAUAAAUUCAACAAAUAUUUAUUGAGUUACUACUACCUGACAGAAACUUCUAGGUACUGAGGAUCCAUUACUCAACAGAGCAGACAGUGCUCUUGUCCUAAUAGGCAUUAUAAUUUAAGAGUUAAACUCAUUAUAGGAGGGAAGUCUUCUCACACAGAUGACACUUCCAGCAUGAGUUGCAUCAUAUCUCUCUUGUCACCCCAAGGAAGCGUUUGAAGAUUCAGCACAAUCGAAACUAAAACCUGUUUCUCAUAUGCUGAUGUUUGGGAUUUUGUUUUUUAAUGCAUCAAUUUUUAUCAUGAAAGAAAAUGAGAAUGGAAUUUCUGAAGGUUCAAGGAAAAAAACCCAGGAUAGAAAUAUGUAAAGGAAAGGAAUAUAGGAGUCAAGGAAGAAUGGAGUGCAGGAAGUCAGGGUCAAUGGGAGGCUCCGGGGUGUGACCUUGGCUCCAGGACCUUAUCUGUCUACCGCUAACAGCGUUGGUCUAUGCCCAGGACUUUCAUCUGAAACUGCUGUCUCCAUUUAGUCUCCCCAAUUCCUGACUACAAGUGUUAUCUUCUUCAUUUAGAAUGGUGAUUUUAUUUAUCAAGGUAAGGUUUUGCUCUUAAAACUUCUCAGCUUCAUAUCUCAGAAGUUCAACUUUUGCCAUAUCUCACAUCAUGUAAUUUGCAUCUUGUCUCAGGUCCUUCUUUCCUCAAGGGUAUACACAUUUUCUUUGGUUGGAGUAAUAACGUUUUAAUGUGUUUGUUUGUUUGUUUGUUUGUUUUUGUCAGCUCUUGCAACUAUUUUCUUUAGUUCCAACUCUGUAGUUAGGGCCUGACACUAAAAUGUUCAUUCUUGAAGGAGUGGAAAAACAUUUUCCUUCAGUAUAAUUUUAUUUUGUACUCUUUACUUUUCUUGAUUUGUAGUUCCAUGUAACUAGAAAUCUUCCUGUGGGGUUUAUAAGAGCCAUGUAUUCCCCUGCUCAAGGUACUAGUUUUUGUGUUUAAAUUCUUCUAUUAUAUGGUGGACACUUAUAACUUUGGACACAAACUCUUCCUGUGUCUGAUUAAGUUCAAGUACAUUUCAUCAAGUUUGACUUCCAGGUUAUCUAAAUGGACUUUUCAUUAGAAGAAUCAAUUACACUUCA